ACGUCACGAGAGUAGUAGUAUCGCGCUAGGAUGAACGCUGGCGGCGUGCAUAACACAUUCAAGUCGAACGGAACAUGGAGCUUGCUCCAUGUUAGUGGCGGACGGGUGAGUAACGCGUGAGUAACCUGCCUCUGUAUGCGGGAUAACAUCGGGAAACUGAUGCUAAUACGGCAUAAAACACAAGGGUCGCAUGAUCCGUGUGUCAAAGAUUUAUUGUACAGAGAUGGGCUCGCGUCCGAUUAGAUAGUUGGUAGGGUAAUGGCCUACCAAGUCUGCGAUCGGUAGCCGGACUGAGAGGUUGAACGGCCACAUUGGAACUGAGAAACGGUCCAGACUCCUACGGGAGGCAGCAGUGGGGAAUAUUGGGCAAUGGGCGAAAGCCUGAACCCCAGCGACGCCGCGUGAGGGAAGAAGGUCUUCGGAUUGUAAACCUUUGUUGAUGGGGAAGAAGAAAGUGACGGUACCCAUCGAGGAAGCCACGGCUAACUACGUGCCAGCAGCUGC
RNAcentral lists this ribosomal RNA (504 nucleotides) under uncultured bacterium. RNAcentral describes it as "bacterial SSU rRNA". It matches the Rfam family "Bacterial small subunit ribosomal RNA", at positions 1 to 518 of the family's 1533-position model. The record is from RNAcentral.